RNAcentral lists this ribosomal RNA (389 nucleotides) under uncultured fungus. RNAcentral describes it as "partial small subunit ribosomal RNA". It matches the Rfam family "Eukaryotic small subunit ribosomal RNA", at positions 30 to 432 of the family's 1831-position model. Lineage: Eukaryota; Fungi. The record is from RNAcentral.
GCUUGUCUCAAAGAUUAAGCCAUGCAAAGGAACGUUCAACCCCAUUUGGGGAAGACGCUGGCCGGCUCAUUAAAUCAGUCAUAGUUCAUUCGACAGAUCACUCUACAUGGAUAACCGUGGUAAUUCUAGAGCUAAUACAUGCUAUCAAGCCCGACUUCUUGAAGGGUUGUAUUUAUUAGACUUAAGCCAAUAUUCCUUGUGUCUAUUGCGAUGAUUCAUAAUAACUGAUCGAAUCUCAAAUUUGAGAUAAAUCAUUCAAGUUUCUGCCCUAUCAGCUUUCGAUGGUAGUGUAUUGGACUACCAUGGCAGUAACGGGUAACGAAGAAUUAGGGUUCGAUUUCGGAGAGGGAGCAUGAGAAACGGCUACCACAUCUAAGGAAGGCAGCAGG